RNAcentral lists this ribosomal RNA (465 nucleotides) under uncultured bacterium. RNAcentral's name for it is "partial 16S ribosomal RNA". It matches the Rfam family "Bacterial small subunit ribosomal RNA", at positions 28 to 507 of the family's 1533-position model. The record is from RNAcentral.
GAUGAACGCUGGCGGCGUGCUUAACACAUGCAAGUCGAACGGAAAGGCCCAAGCUUGCUUGGGUACUCGAGUGGCGAACGGGUGAGUAACACGUGGGUGAUCUGCCCUGCACUUCGGGAUAAGCCUGGGAAACUGGGUCUAAUACCGGAUAGGACCACAUUUUGGAUGGUGUGGUGGAAAGUUUUUCGGUGUGGGAUGAGCUCGCGGCCUAUCAGCUUGUUGGUGGGGUAAUGGCCUACCAAGGCGUCGACGGGUAGCCGGCCUGAGAGGGUGUACGGCCACAUUGGGACUGAGAUACGGCCCAGACUCCUACGGGAGGCAGCAGUGGGGAAUAUUGCACAAUGGGCGCAAGCCUGAUGCAGCGACGCCGCGUGGGGGAUGACGGCCUUCGGGUUGUAAACUCCUUUCGCUAGGGACGAAGCGCAAGUGACGGUAACUGGAGAAGAAGCACCGGCUAACUACGUG